GUGUCGAGUGGAUUGGUCGUGCUAUCACACGGCCCGACUUGCGAUAUCUUGAAUCGAUAUGAAAUCAAUUUGCUCAGUAUCUCCUGAGAGAAUGGUGGUUGGAUUUUGAAGCUGAGGCCAUCAUUCUAUUGAUGGCAAGCUCCCUGGAGUUUGUCGAUUUCGACGUUCCAGUUCCUGAACCUUUCUUUGGAGUUCAUCUUCUUAUCAGAAGUGGUGCCAGUGUAGGCUUGAGGUGGAGUCCUUCU
This 245-nucleotide long non-coding RNA is filed under the name Elaeis guineensis (African oil palm). RNAcentral's name for it is "long non-coding RNA (EGUI_LNC014023)". The record is from RNAcentral. Lineage: Eukaryota; Viridiplantae; Streptophyta; Magnoliopsida; Arecales; Arecaceae.